CCUACGGGUGACAGCAGUGAGGAAUAUUGGUCAAUGGGCGAGAGUCUGAACCAGCCAAGUAGCGUGAAGGAUGACUGCCCUAUGGGUUGUAAACUUCUUUUAUAAAGGAAUAAAACGAGGCACGUGUGCCUGUUUGCAUGUACUUUAUGAAUAAGGAUCGGCUAACUCCGUGCCAGCAGCCGCGGUAAUACGGAGGAACCGAGCGUUAUCCGGAUUUAUUGGGUUUAAAGGGAGCGUAGAUGGGUUGUUAAGUCAGUUGUGAAAGUUUGCGGCUCAACCGUAAAAUUGCAAUUGAUACUGGCAGUCUUGAGUACAGUUGAGGUAGGCGGAAUUCGUGGUGUAGCGGUGAAAUGCUUAGAUAUCACGAAGAACCCCGAUUGCGAAGGCAGCUUACUAAACUGUGACUGACAUUGAUGCUCGAAAGUGUGGGUAUCAAACAGGAUUAGAUACCCCAGUAGUC
Molecule: ribosomal RNA, 460 nt
Filed under: uncultured bacterium
Lineage: Bacteria
Description: partial 16S ribosomal RNA
Rfam family: Bacterial small subunit ribosomal RNA
Source: RNAcentral